GCGGAAGUGGCGGAACUGGCAGACGCAAUAGCUUGAGGGGCUAUCGCUCAUUAGAGUGUAUGGGUUCGAAUCCCUUCUUCCGCACCA
Molecule: transfer RNA, 87 nt
Filed under: Clostridiales bacterium
Lineage: Bacteria; Bacillati; Bacillota; Clostridia; Eubacteriales
Description: tRNA-Leu
Rfam family: tRNA
About the family: Transfer RNA (tRNA) molecules are approximately 80 nucleotides in length.
Source: RNAcentral